AUGUUGAUGCAAGACUACUUCGCGAAGAAUCCAACAUAUCCACCGCACCUCUUCCGGAGAAGGUACCGAAUGCGCCGAUCCCUCUUUGUGAAAAUUGUUCAAGCUUGCAAGGCAAAUUGUCGGUAUUUUACUCAAAGAAGAACUGUUGCGGGCUUAAAGGGAUUU
Molecule: ribosomal RNA, 165 nt
Filed under: Triticum aestivum (bread wheat)
Lineage: Eukaryota; Viridiplantae; Streptophyta; Magnoliopsida; Poales; Poaceae
Description: partial small subunit ribosomal RNA
Source: RNAcentral